AGAACGAACGCUGGCGGCAUGCCUAAUACAUGCAAGUCGAACGAACUCUUCGGAGUUAGUGGCGCACGGGUGCGUAACGCGUGGGAAUCUGCCCUUGGGUUCGGAAUAACAGUUGGAAACGACUGCUAAUACCGGAUGAUGACGAAAGUCCAAAGAUUUAUCGCCCAGGGAUGAGCCCGCGUAGGAUUAGCUAGUUGGUGAGGUAAAGGCUCACCAAGGCGACGAUCCUUAGCUGGUCUGAGAGGAUGAUCAGCCACACUGGGACUGAGACACGGCCCAGACUCCUACGGGAGGCAGCAGUAGGGAAUAUUGGACAAUGGGCGAAAGCCUGAUCCAGCAAUGCCGCGUGAGUGAUGAAGCUUAGGUGUAAAGCUCUUUACCCGAGAUGAUAAUGACAGUAGUCGGAGAAGUAACGCCCCGGUACUAACCGUCCGUCGACCCAGCCACGCCGAC
This 453-nucleotide ribosomal RNA is filed under the name uncultured soil bacterium. RNAcentral's name for it is "bacterial SSU rRNA". It matches the Rfam family "Bacterial small subunit ribosomal RNA", at positions 26 to 516 of the family's 1533-position model. The record is from RNAcentral.